ACGGCAGCACGGGUGCUUGCACCUGGUGGCGAGUGGCGAACGGGUGAGUAAUGCGUCGGAACGUACCGAGUAAUGGGGGAUAACGCAGCGAAAGUUGUGCUAAUACCGCAUACGCCCUGAGGGGGAAAGUGGGGGACCGCAAGGCCUCACGUUAUUCGAGCGGCCGACGUCUGAUUAGCUAGUUGGUGGGGUAAAGGCCUACCAAGGCGACGAUCAGUAGCGGGUCUGAGAGGAUGAUCCGCCACACUGGGACUGAGACACGGCCCAGACUCCUACGGGAGGCAGCAGUGGGGAAUUUUGGACAAUGGGGGCAACCCUGAUCCAGCCAUUCCGCGUGAGUGAAGAAGGCCUUCGGGUUGUAAAGCUCUUUCAGCUGGAACGAAACGGUACGCGCUAACAUCGUGUGCUAAUGACGGUACCGGCAGAAGAAGCACCGGCUAACUACGUGCCAGCAGCCGCGGUAAUACGUAGGGUGCGAGCGUUAAUCGGAACUACUGGGCGUAAAGCGUGCGCAGGCGGAUUGUUAAGCAAGACGUGAAAUCCCCGGGCUUAACCUGGGAAUGGCGUUUUGAACUGGCAGUCUAGAGUGCGUCAGAGGGGGGUGGAAUUCCACGUGUAGCAGUGAGAUGCGUAGAGAUGUGGAGGAACACCGAUGGCGAAAGCAGCCCCCUGGGAUGACACUGACGCUCAUGUA
RNAcentral lists this ribosomal RNA (694 nucleotides) under uncultured bacterium. RNAcentral's name for it is "bacterial SSU rRNA". It matches the Rfam family "Bacterial small subunit ribosomal RNA", at positions 66 to 753 of the family's 1533-position model. The record is from RNAcentral.